UACGUAGGGUGCGAGCGUUAAUCGGAAUUACUGGGCGUAAAGCGUGCGCAGGCGGUGCGCCAAGCUCGAUGUGAAAGCCCCGGGCUCAACCUGGGAAUUGCAUUGAGGACUGGCGUGCUCGAGUGCGGCAGAGGGGGGUGGAAUUCCACGUGUAGCAGUGAAAUGCGUAGAGAUGUGGAGGAACACCGAUGGCGAAGGCAGCCCCCUGGGCCGACACUGACGCUCAUGCACGAAAGCGUGGGGAGCAAACAGG
RNAcentral lists this ribosomal RNA (253 nucleotides) under uncultured bacterium. Its description in RNAcentral is "partial 16S ribosomal RNA". It matches the Rfam family "Bacterial small subunit ribosomal RNA", at positions 524 to 776 of the family's 1533-position model. The record is from RNAcentral.